Molecule: ribosomal RNA, 253 nt
Filed under: uncultured bacterium
Lineage: Bacteria
Description: partial 16S ribosomal RNA
Rfam family: Bacterial small subunit ribosomal RNA
Source: RNAcentral
UACGGGGGGUGCAAGCGUUAAUCGGAAUUACUGGGCGUAAAGCGCGCGUAGGUGGUUCGUUAAGUUGGAUGUGAAAUCCCCGGGCUCAACCUGGGAACUGCAUUCAAAACUGACGAGCUAGAGUAUGGUAGAGGGUGGUGGAAUUUCCUGUGUAGCGGUGAAAUGCGUAGAUAUAGGAAGGAACACCAGUGGCGGAGGCGACCACCUGGACUGAUACUGACACUGAGGUGCGAAAGCGUGGGGAGCAAACAGG